Zea mays is the source of this 8369-nucleotide long non-coding RNA. RefSeq lists it as uncharacterized. The transcript has 2 exons. Lineage: Eukaryota; Viridiplantae; Streptophyta; Magnoliopsida; Poales; Poaceae. The record is from RefSeq and is a predicted model, not a curated record.
UUUUUGCAAUUUUCUUAUUAUCAAUUCCAUUCAUUUAUUUUAUAGAAUACUUUUUUAUUCUAUAUCUAUAAAAAAUCUUUAUUUUGUAAACUAAAAAAUACAAUAGUCAAUAUUCCUUAUAAUAGAUAUACUUAAUUAUAUCAUAAGAAUCUUAAGAUAUAUUUUGAAUAGAUAGAAAUAGUAAAUUUGAAUUGAGACACAUAUUCUAUGACAGAUUUUAACUUACCCUCUAUUUUCGUACCUUUAGUAGGCUUAGUAUUUCCGGCAAUUGCAAUGACUUCCUUAUUUCUUUAUGUGCAGAAAAAUAAGAUUGUCUAGAAACGACGGGGCCAAAUUUUCUCAAUGUAUUUCCAGGAUCAUAAUACAGAUAUUUUUUGUGUAAGUACUAUAAUAUGAUAGGGUAUGUAGCUCUUUCUACACACAAAUGAAAAACGUCUAUGGAUGCAGAUAUAAGCUACGAGCAUAAAUGCAUGCAUAUGCGUAGCCGACUAUAGCGAGUUUUUUUUUAAGUGGAUCCACUAAUUUUUUUUGAAUAGAAAGUCAAUGUAUCUAACCAAUUAUUUCACAGGAGUACUAGCUACUGAAGGCUAUUUCAGAAUCAAAAAAAGUAAAGUAAAAAUCAUUUAGCUUAUUCUCUCAAUUUCAAUUGACCGCUACUGGAUUUAGUAUAUCUAAUAUGAAUUGGCGAUCAGAACACAUAUGGAUAGAACUUCUAAAAGGUUCUCGAAAAAGAGGGGGUCGUGAUGUCUUUCUACGGAAUCGCAGGCCUAUUCAUUAGCUCCUAUUUGUGGUGCACUAUUUUAUGGAAUGUAGGCAGUGGUUAUGACCGAUUCGAUAGAAAAGAGGGAAUAGUGUGCAUUUUUCGUUGGGGAUUCCCUGGAAUAAAACGUCGCAUCUUCCUUCAAUUCCUUGUGCGGGAUAUCCAAUCAAUUAGAAUUCAGGUUAAAGAGGGUCUUUAUCCUCGUCGUAUCCUUUAUAUGGAAAUCCGGGGCCAGGGGGUCAUUCCCUUGACUCGUACUGAUGAGAAGUUUUUUACUCCACGAGAAAUUGAACAAAAAGCUGCCGAAUUGGCCUAUUUCUUGCGUGUACCAAUUGAAGUAUUUUGAGUACCAAUUGCAAUUUUUUGCAAUUGUAAGGGGAUUUUCGAGUAUUUAUCUAAAGUAAAGGAAGGAACAAACGAGGAUAAGAGAAAAUUGCUUCGAAUUUGUUUUGUCCAAGUGAGAUAUAUGGCAUACUAUUCUUCCAUUUUUAUACGAAAGGCCUUUUUUUAUUUCUCUAUUCCACUCCAUUUAGAUCUAAGAAAGAACCCAAUACAAUGAAAUUCCACUAGUAUACAAAAAGAGAAAUAGAUACAAACACAAGGUCUCAAACCUUGUUAUAGAAUUUUUGCUUCAAAGAAAAGAAAUAUCAUAUAUAUUCAGCUUACAGAUCAAAAAUGAAAAAAAAGAAAGCAUUGCCUUCUUUCUUAUAUCUUGUAUUUAUCGUACUUUUGCCCUGGGGAGUCUCUUUCUCUUUUAACAAAUGUCUGGAACUUUGGAUUAAGAAUUGGUGGAAUACCAGGCAAUCCGAAACUUUCUUAAGUGAUAUUCAAGAGAAAAGGAUUCUAGAAGGAUUCAUAGAAUUAGAGGAACUUUUUCUCUUGGACGAAAUGAUAAAAGAGAAACCGAAGACACAUGUACAAAAACUUCCUAUAGGAAUACACAAGGAAAUAAUACAAUUGGCCAAAAUAGAUAAUGAGGAUCAUCUCCAUAUCAUUUUGCAUUUCUCAACAAAUAUAAUCUGUUUGGCUAUUCUAAGUGGUUCUUUUUUUCUGGGUAAAGAAGAACUUGUCAUUUUGAAUUCUUGGGUUCAGGAAUUUUUCUAUAACUUAAAUGAUUCAAUAAAAGCUUUUUUUAUUCUUUUAGUUACUGAUUUUUUUGUUGGAUUUCACUCUACCUGCGGUUGGGAACUACUAAUUCGUUGGGUCUACAACAAUCUUGGAUGGGCUCCUAACGAGCUAAUUUUCACUAUUUUUGUUUGUAGUUUUCCUGUGAUUCUAGACACGUGUUUGAAAUUUUGGGUCUUUUUUUGUUUAAACCGUCUAUCUCCUUCACUUGUAGUCAUUUAUCAUUCAAUUAGUGAAGCAUAAACUCACUCAUUUCAUUUCCUAAUAUUAAUCAAAUUAGCAUAUUUCUUUUCUUCCUUUAGAAAUGGAAAGAAAGCCCUUUUCCUUUUUAACAAAAUUCUUUCUAUUUCUACCUGCUCAAGGUAUUCAUCAUUCUAGUACAACUAUUGCAGUAGAAUGACAACAGACUCGUGUAUAGGGAACUAGAUUAGCUUAGCUACCUAUCUAAUUUAUUUUAGAAAUUCCGGGAUCCGCGAUUGGACAUGGAAAAUAGAAAAACUUUUUCUUGGUUAAAGGAACAGAUGAUUCGAUCGAUUUCUGUAUCGAUCAUGAUAUACGUAAUAACUCGCACAUCUAUUUCAAACGCAUAUCCCAUUUUUGCGCAGCAGGGUUAUGAAAACCCGCGGGAAGCAACUGGACGAAUUGUAUGUGCCAAUUGCCAUUUAGCUAAUAAGCCUGUGGAUAUUGAAGUUCCCCAAGCAGUGCUUCCUGAUACUGUAUUUGAAGCAGUUCUUCGAAUUCCUUAUGAUAUGCAGCUGAAACAAGUUCUUGCUAAUGGUAAAAAGGGAGGGUUGAAUGUGGGUGCUGUUCUUAUUUUGCCCGAGGGAUUCGAAUUAGCGCCGCCCGACCGUAUUUCUCCUGAGUUGAAAGAAAAGAUAGGAAAUCUCUCUUUUCAGAGUUAUCGUCCCAAUAAAAAAAUAUUCUUGUGAUAGGCCCUGUUCCCGGUAAGAAAUAUAGUGAAAUUGUCUUUCCCAUUCUUUCCCCCGAUCCCGCUACAAAAAAAGACGUUCAUUUCUUAAAAUAUCCCAUAUAUGUAGGGGGAAACCGAGGAAGGGGACAGAUCUAUCCUGACGGUAGCAAGAGUAACAAUACGGUCUAUAAUGCUACGUCAACAGGUAUAGUAAAAAAAAUACUACGUAAAGAAAAGGGGGGAUAUGAAAUAUCCAUAGUGGAUGCAUCGGAUGGACGCCAAGUGAUUGAUAUUAUACCUCCCGGGCCAGAACUUCUUGUUUCAGAGGGGGAAUCAAUCAAGCUUGAUCAACCAUUAACAAGCAAUCCUAAUGUAGGAGGGUUUGGUCAGGGGGAUGCAGAAAUAGUGCUUCAGGAUCCAUUGCGCGUCCAAGGCCUUUUGUUUUUCUUCGCAUCUGUUAUUUUGGCACAAGUUUUUUUGGUUCUCAAAAAGAAACAGUUUGAAAAGGUUCAAUUGUACGAAAUGAAUUUCUAGAUCCUGGGAUUUCUUACCAUCAAGUGAGAAAAAAGCCUCGAUUUCUGGAAUUCCUUAUUUCUAUCUCAUGCAAAAGAAGAGGAUCCAAGGCAAAGACGAGAACAAUAAAAGGAACAAGUCCUUUUAGGAGGAAUUGUGGGUCUUCUUAAUCCUCUAUUGGGCACAAGAAAAAGGCUUUUUUGCCUUUUUCUUGUGUCGAUUCUUCUUGUAUCGAAGUAAGAAUCAUUUUUCUUCUUAUUUGUUUUGUCAAAGAUUACUAUUUAUUCUUUAUUCGGGUCUGUCUUUUGGACUUCCUUUGCUUAGGUUCGGGCGCGGUAGUGGACAAACAGAGGGAAAGAAGGUAUGGCGGGGGACACAUUUCUUGUGAGCAAAUAGAAUUGCUUUACUUUUUGAAUUAAGUUCAACUUUGAACUUACAGAAAUUUUGUAAAAAAAAUCUAUACCCUCCCAUGGAAGGGUGGUUUUGAUUUUUAGGCUAGUUGAGUAGUUUUGAUUAAGGUUUUAUUAGUUUAUUACUCUAAACUAAAUCAACGAUUUGCAGGAUACUUCCUUCAUGGAAUAAAAUACUGGAUCCUCUCCCCUCUUUCUUGUUGCUUCAUAAGAGUGAAUCCAUUUUAUGGGCGAAAGGCGGGGGCUUUAAAUCGACCGAUGGAUUGCUUCACUCACUAACAUCAUUAACAAACAAAAGAAUAAAUGGAGGGAUUCCAACCAUCAGAGCAAAGGUUUUCUCUUUGUUAUUUUUACAAAUAGAAAUAGGUAACCAAUUUCUAGAUUAUGGAACAAAACCGCGUUAUAACAAUAAGAAUUCCGCGGGCCCUUUCCGCUCUAAUCAGAUAAAGGGGAGUAAGGACCCGCUAAGUUCCUACUUUUUCAUGUUUACAAUCUGGAUCCUCCGAUUACUAUAGAGAUGAACCCAAUCCAGAAUACGAACCGUAAAAGAAAACACCUAUUAAACCAAUCACAAGAAUACCAGUUACAGUACCUAUCAGCCAAAGAGGAAUUCUUCCAGUAGUAUCGGCCAUUUCCCCUACUUUCCUCCACAUUUUCUCAAGUGGUCAUGCUAGAGACAAAAACAGUCAUGGAUAGUUAUAAAGAUGGUAUCCUUCCAAAUGGGAUAAGAGAAUUCUUACUACUCUCUUUCUUUCUCUCAAUUGAAGAAGUAAUUGGAAAAUAAAACAGCAAGUACAAAAAUGAGUAAUAAACCCCAGUAUAGACUGGUACGAUUCAAUUCAACAUUUUGUUCAUUCGGGUUUGAUUGUGUCAUAGUUCUAUAGUUGGAAUUUGGUUUAUCGUUGGAUGAACUGCAUUGCUGAUAUUGAUCCCAAGAAAAAAACCGUGGGUACAGCUAAUCCGUGAACAGCCAGCCAUCGCACUGUAAAAAUAGGAUAGGUUCGAUCUAUGGUCAUUGGGGGCCUCCUAAAAGGAUCUACUAAAUUCAUCUAGUUGUUCUAAAGAAUCAAAACGGUCGGUUAUUAAUGGAAUUCCUUGUCGGCUUUCCGUGAAAUACUCGUUUGGUCGAGGACUUCCAAACACGUCAUAAGCUAAACCCGUACUGACAAAUAACCAACCCGCAAUGAAUAGGGAAGGUAUAGUAAUGCUAUGAAUAACCCAGUAUCGAAUACUGGUAAUAAUAUCAGCAAAAGAACGUUCUCCCGUGCUUCCAGACAUGCUGAGCUCCCAAAAUUUUUAUUCAAAAAAGGAAUUGAUUCCGUAAAAGAUGGGAUCCACCAGUAAAUAGAAAAUUACUGAUAUUUCAUCCUUGUGAGAUUGUCAAUUUUGUACCAAAGGUGUAUUUUGAGUAUACCGAAUUAGUAUAGCUAUCCUUCCUAUGGCACAGCAAUCCAGUUUUGCUUGGUCCCGAAACAGAAUUCCUUUUUUCUCUUUUUUGUUCCUUGUCUAUAGGAAAAUUACAUGUUAUUCAAGGCAUCAAUAGAACCCCACAAUUUUUUGGGUCCUACUUAUUUUCAUUGUCUUCGGAAUAGUAGAAUAAUUUAAUUUGGAAUAGCGGCCAAGAUCUUGGGAAAAUCUAAGUUAAUGAUUAAUAAGAUAAAGAAUUUAGGAAGGAUAUUCUCAUAUUGACGCAAUACAAAGAUAAGUAUAUGCAAAAUCGAUCCUUUUUUAGUUAAAGGAAUUUAAUUGGUUAGCAUAAAAUAAUAUCUAAUAAAUAGAAAAUCGAAUAGCGGAUAAUCCGUUAUGAAAGAAACGGAAUACAUUCUUUGAAGAAUCAAGAUUCGUAAUCAAUCCUUGUCUUGUUUGUUGGAUUAGGUCUAAUUUUCUUGACCAAACAGCAAGCAUGGAACUUUACAAGAAGAACUUAAAAGAAAAGGAUAAUUGAAGUAACUUUGAAUCCACUUUUGUUGGGGUUCAAAAAACGAAUAAAAAUAAAUAAAAAAAAGUAAAUUUAAGGAAUAGUUCCCUUUUUGAGGGGGCCCCUCGGGGGUCGUGGAAUGCUUUUCUUCUCCUCUUAUUCCAUAUGGAAUACAAUGAGUUAAAAUUUGCUCCAAAAAGAGGAUGAAAUCCAUCCUAUUAAAAAAGAAAUAAUCCGAAUCCGAAAUAGAAAGAAUUUUUUUUUUCAAAUUCAAUUCUUUAUUUAUCUUUUAUUCCAAAAUUCUCCCGAAAAUCCAAUUUCAUUUUUCAAUGGGGUUAGAUGAUCUAGUUCUUAAUAUUAUUAGUUUACUUAACUGACAGAUUCCACAACAAAUCUCUUGAUUCGGAAUUAGGGACUCAUGUUCCGUCUGAUGAAUCGAUUUUCUCUUUUUUUUACACUUCUGUAUCUCACUCUAUCUUGUUUUUUAGUAUUAUCUAAAAUAACCGAUGAAUUAUGAAUUUUCCAUAACUUAAACUUAGGUAAGUGCUUUACCAACAUAUGUAGUGUAGUAAAAAAAAUGGAAUUGAACCCCUUCAUGCUUACUAUAACUAGUUAUUUCGGUUUUCUACUGGCUGCUUUAACUAUAACCCCAGCUCUAUUUAUUAGCUUGAACAAGAUACGUCUUAUUUGAAAUGAAUUGAAUAGAAGAAUCUUUCUUUUGGAUUCUUGGUAUUCUAGACUCUUUUCCACACUAAUUACCAAUUCUUUUCUUGGUCAUUGAGAUUCGUGGGUAGUUUAGACUAUUAUUUAGAGAUAGAUCGUACCUCUUUUUUUAUCCCCUCGAACAAAUCGAAAUGAUUGAAGUUUUUCUAUUUGGAAUCGUCUUAGGCCUAAUUCCUAUUACUUUAGCGGGAUUAUUCGUGACUGCGUAUUUGCAAUACAGGCGUGGGGAUCAGUUGGAUCUUUGAUUGAGUAAUAUUUCUUUUUUGAUUGACCUCCUCUCUGGUCUGGAGGAGGUCAAAUUGGAGUUGCAAUUCUACUUUGUUUUUUUUUAAGUUAUUUUAGUUUCGACAUAAGAUAUAUGGAAUCACGCUCUAUAGGAUUUGAACCUACGACAUCGGGUUUUGGAGACCCGCGUUCUACCAAACUGAACUAAGAGCGCUUUCAAAACAAAAAAAAAAGAAAAUCCUUUUCUAUUCCUAACGUGUCUCACGUCCGUAUAGUAUCCACAAAUUCAAGUUAUACCCACUUUAAUCGAUCUCCCCACUACUGCCCAUAACGAAGAGAGAAUUAAUAGGUAGGGAUGACAGGAUUUGAACCUGUGACAUUUUGUACCCAAAACAAACGCGCUACCAAGCUGCGCUACAUCCCUUUUCCAAAUUGUUGUACAAUGCCAUUGUACACAAUUCCUUUCUUGUUUUCCACAUCGUAAUUUUCUUCUAUUUCUUUAUCCAUAUAGAACUUUCUUGUCAUUUCUUGUUUUUGGUCUCAUAUAAUCAAGGAAGGGGUAUAAACUAAAAUCCAGUCAAAUUUCACCUAUAAAAGAAAGACUACUAUUCCUUAGUAAUGUAUAGGAAGAAGGGGUCAUCUUUUUUAGGGAUAGGAAAAUCUCGUCUAUACGGUUCAUUCUAUAUAUAUAUAAUAUUUAUUUUGUUUUUUUAGUUAGGAAUUUCGCCUAAACAAAAGAAAUACAAAGGAUCUUGGGCAAGAGUAUCUGAUCAUAUAUGUAUUCCAAUACGGAAGGAGGAUUUUCAAUGCGGGAUAUAAAAACAUAUCUCUCUGUAGCACCCGUGCUAAGUACUCUAUGGUUUGGGGCUUUAGCAGGUUUAUUGAUAGAAAUCAAUCGUUUAUUCCCAGAUGCUUUGUCAUUCCCUUUUUUUUAUUCUAGUUAUUCCUAUGCGAGAGAUAGAAUUCUUCGUGACAUGACGAAAAUUUCCCCUUUUUGAAUUCUUUUUUAGUAUAUGAAGCAAAAAGAAAGAAAAGAUGGAUAAGGAUUGUAUUCUUUAAUUAUUUCUCUAUGUUUUAUUACUUAAUUUACGAAUUUCAAAAAUUUUGUAUUCUAUUGGAUUGGAUUUGUUCGAGAAUUCGAAGAAUUACAACAAAAUCUUUAGAAAUCACAUUUUUAGUUAGGAACUUCUAUGGAUUUUAUUCUUCUUCUUUUCUUUGGAUCCAAAAUAGAAGAAUAAAAGAAUAGGUAUAAGAAUUAAGUUAAGUCGAUCCAAAAAGGAAAGGAGGUUCAUGGCCAAGGGCAAAGAUGUUAGAAUCCGAGUUAUUUUGGAAUGUAUUAGUUGUGUUCGAAAGGGUACCAAUAAGGAAUCGACGGGGAUUUCUAGAUAUAGUACUCAAAAGAAUCGCCACAAUACGCCCGGACAAUUAGAAUUAAGAAAAUUUUGUCGUUAUUGUCGCAAGCAUACCACUCAUAAUGAAAUAAAGAAAUAGGAGCAUCGUGUGUUCGAUUUUUCCAAAGAACAGAAAGAGUAAGAACUUCUUAUUAAAUAUAUAGAACAUAGAUAGAAUACUAAAUACAAAUCAACUCAUCUGAUUUUAGGUAGAUAUUAUUUCAUAUGUAUAGAGGGUUUUUAUUUUUAUAUAUUUGGAUUUUUUAUAUUUUUAUAUAGUAUAUUUUGAUUUAAUCAAUUUAUAUAGUAUAUUUUGAUUUAAUCAAAUAAUAUAUGGACCAAAGAAAGACUACUUCUUCUGGUUCUGGAUCAAAAAUUAAUAAAAGAAAGAAAU